GAUGAACGCUGGCGGCGUGCCUAAUACAUGCAAGUCGAGCGAACGGACGAGAAGCUUGCUUCUCUGAUGUUAGCGGCGGACGGGUGAGUCACACGUGGAUAACCUACCUAUAAGACUGGGAUAACUUCGGGAAACCGGAGCUAAUACUGGAUAAUAUUUUGAACCGCAUGGUUCAAAAGUGAAAGACGGUCUUGCUGUCACUUAUAGAUGGAUCCGCGCUGCAUUAGCUAGUUGGUAAGGUAACGGCUUACCAAGGCAACGAUGCAUAGCCGACCUGAGAGGGUGAUCGGCCACACUGGAACUGAGACACGGUCCAGACUCCUACGGGAGGCAGCAGUAGGGAAUCUUCCGCAAUGGGCGAAAGCCUGACGGAGCAACGCCGCGUGAGUGAUGAAGGUCUUCGGAUCGUAAAACUCUGUUAUUAGGGAAGAACAUAUGUGUAAGUAACUGUGCACAUCUUGACGGUACCUAAUCAGAAAGCCACGGCUAACUACGUG
RNAcentral lists this ribosomal RNA (497 nucleotides) under uncultured bacterium. RNAcentral's name for it is "partial 16S ribosomal RNA". It matches the Rfam family "Bacterial small subunit ribosomal RNA", at positions 28 to 507 of the family's 1533-position model. The record is from RNAcentral.